RNAcentral lists this long non-coding RNA (7394 nucleotides) under Sus scrofa (pig). RNAcentral's name for it is "lncRNA (ENSSSCG00040074074.1)". The record is from RNAcentral. Lineage: Eukaryota; Metazoa; Chordata; Mammalia; Artiodactyla; Suidae.
GCUGGCAGCUACAGCUCUGAUUCGACCCCUCACUGGGGAAUUUCCACAUGCCACAGGUACGGCCAUAAAAAUGAAACAAAAUAACUAAAAAAUAAAAUUUUAUAACUGUAACGUGUUCUAGUCCGCAUAUAGAUUAACUUUCAUGAAUUAAUAUGAAUUUAUUUUCUUUUUGAAAAAACGGCCCAGAAGAGAAAACCAGGAGCUUGUCCUCUAGAUAGAUGCUGAGAAAACAUGGAGAAGCUUAAGUAAGUGACGGUUCUGAGCCAGCAAGUAGAAGUGUUAGAUGAGUUAUAGCAGGUCCAUCUUGUGAACCAGAGCCAUGAUCCAAAUACACCCACCUUAUGUCCCAUUUUUGAAUAAAAAGAAAUUUGUGAAAUUCUUUCAGUACCCAUUCCAACCAAGACAAAAGCUCUCAGGGUGAGAUAAAACUUUAGUGACAGUGAAAAGAGUAAUUAAUUUGUGGUCUGAGGCUCAGCACAGCAGAUAAGUAAAUGUCAGCAGGAAUACAAUUUAGGAGAAUGUAUGAAGCCUGCACAGUGUUAAUAAGGUACAAAUUCAGGAAUGUUGACCACCUUAUUUAUAUCUACUGUGGAGCCAUCAGUUACAUAAGUGUGCCUGGGUCCACAUGUAUUGGCAGCUGUUUGUCACACUGCUGGAUACCAAAGAAUUGCAUAUAUGAUAAGGGUGUAAAUGCAACUUCUAAGGGGUGAGUAUUCAACAAAGUAGCUUUUACGAUGCAGUGCAGCCUGUUAUUACUCUCUCCCUUCUUAAGAACAUCUCUCAUCUCAUGUCUGCACAGACAUGAAGGACAUGAAGAUGUCAAUGAAAGAUGCAUCAAAAAGAAUAAUAUGGGCAACAAAAGGAGCAGCCAGUUGUUAAGGAUUCAGUGUUGUCAUUGCUAUGUUGAGGAUUCAGUCCCUGACCUGGGAACUUCCGCGUGCCAUGGACGAAGCCAAAAAAAACCCCCAAAAAACACAGAAUGAUAGGCUUGGAAGGGACCUGAGAAAUUAUUAGUCUGACCUCCUGGUUUGGCAUAUCAGAAAGUCUUGCUUCUGAGAGACAAAGUGACUUUCGAAACCACCAAAGUUAAUGUGAUAUCUGACAUUAUUCCACCCAACCUCCCCUCGUCUCCUUAAUAUCUAACUGGCCCCAGUUCUCUCUCUGUUGCACCUGUCACCCUUCUCUUGUUCUGACCUGGUUGUAUUUUUCCAUUGCAUAGCUGGAGCAUGACCAGAAAGGCAAGUGAGAAACCAGACAAUUUAUAUAACCUCACACAUGAGAUCAAAUUAGUGAGUGAGGGACCAACGUGGAUGCGCUCUUAUCCUUAGUUCGUUGAGGAAAAUAAGUUAGCUUUGAAUAGAUGAUUGUUCUGGACUGGGGAAUUUUUAUUUAUAGUUGAAUUCUGUACCACUUUGUAUGCUUUUAGUCAUUUCAAUGGGGUAAAUUCUGAGAUUGAGAUUAACACAUACACACUACUAUGUAGAAAAUAGAUCAUCAACAAGGACCUACUGUAUAGCACAGGAAACUCUACUGAACAUUCUGUAAUAACCUAUAUGGGAAAAGAAUCUGAAAAAGGAUGGAUAUGAAUAACUGGAUCACUUUGCUAUACACCUGAAAUUAACACAGCACUGUAAAUCAACUCUACUCCAAUAUAAAAUAAGGACUAAAUUAAAAAUAAAUGUUAGCAUUAAUUUAAAAUAUAAAGACUAAUGACCAAAAACCAAGGGAAGUAAAAUUAUAUACAUGAUCGUUUUCAGUUCUUUGAAGAAGAUAUUAGCAUUCUGACAUAGCCUACGCUUCAAGUCAUCUAGCAGUCCUUAGAACUAAAUUACUAAAAUAGUACGCACACUUCUAAAAGACUUCCACAAGUUACUGGAAACCGUGUUGAUGUGGAAUGAUUUACAGUUAUGUCCUCAUUUGUUGUCCUACAAGCUUUCUGGUGUAAUACUGUCAUCAGUCAUGGCUAGAAGGUUUAUUAUUUCUUUGGACUCCUCCUCUUGCCAUUAACCAAUAUUUGUCACACUUCCAUGUGACAGGUCUCCCUCAGACAGGCCUUUCAGACGUCUGCAUCUUUUUACCCUGUGUCUUUUCUUUAUUAUCUUGUUAAGCUCUCCCAAGGGACAUGUUUCUAGUCCUGGAUGAAGAUUGCAUUCUUCUGAUUUUUCUUUCUUUUUUUCACAAUGACGUCUGUCAUGUCAACACCAUGACAUCAACAGGCAGCAGUUUUUAUUUUAAAACCAUCAGUAGUCUGUGGGAGUCCCUCAGAAGAUAUUUGCCGCUGCUUUCUUUUUUCUGCUUGAGAACUUUUCCUUCUUUACUCAUCUGAAUCACUGGGAGAUUGGAAAGCAUAUUAUGACUAAGAAAAUGAGUGAAAAUGUAUUGAGCAUUUACCAUGUGCUGUUCAACACUCGUUUAAUCUUUAUAACCACCUAAGAGAGAGAGAGAGAUGCUAUGCUAGUCUUCUUUUUUUGUUGUUUGUUUGUUUUUGUUUGUUUUUUGCCUUUUCUAGGGCCGAUCCUGCGGCAUAUGGAGGUUCCCAGGCUAGGGGUCUAAUCGGAGCUGGAGCUGCCUGCCUACACCAGAGCCACAGCAACUCAGGAUUGAGCCGCGUCUGUGACCUACACCACAGCUCACGGCAAUGCUGGAUCCUUAACCCACUGAGCAAGGCCAGGGAUCAAGCCUGCAACCACAUGAUUCCUAGUCAGAUUCGUUAACCACUGCGCCACGACCGGGAACUCCUAUGCUAGUCUUCUUAUAGAUGAAAAUCAUCUAGGCUUCACCAAGUCACAUUGCUCAGGGUCCUCCAACAGGAGUAAGUGGCAGGGAAGGACCAGAAAUCAAGUCUAUCUAACUCCAUCAUUAGUGCUUUGAACCACCUGCUGGUUCAUCUUCUCUCUCUUGGUGGGGGCGGUGCAGCGGGGGGCAGCUCACACUUAACAUCAUCAUGAUGGUGAUUUUUUCAGGGCAAGUGUUAUUGAUGACAGCUGUGUUCUACUAAGGCUUAUCUUUGCACGCUAUUCAAAAGGAAUCUGAACUUCAGCAGUUUUUUUAAGUGUUACAUUUCAAGUGGCCCAUGAUGAGUUCAACACAUAUUUUUAACUUAAUUAUAUGAAUGGAUAAAUAAAUUAUAGGUAUGCACUUCCUUAUUCUUUGAGAAAAUGUACGUAAACCUCCUGUGUCAGAUCACGCCAUCCUCCUACCAACCUUGCAAGCUCACUUUUAAACAAAAGGCAUCUUUUCAUGCCAAAAACUCCAAAUAAUGGAUCCCAACAUUUUUCUUACCAUUUCAUUGCAUUUAUUCUUAAGAACCCCUCAUACUGAAGGUUUCUAUACUACCAAAUUUUAGUUGUUAAAAGACAAGGCAUUAAUUUCAUCUGUUUAAGGAGUUGGACAACUGUGAGUCAGAAUCAAUGCUUUGCGUGAUGGAGAGCUGCCAAGUUUGGUCUGAAUGGUUUGUAGCGCUUAGAGACUUAUUAACGAAUGCAAUAAUGAAACAGAACAUUUUCAUUUAAUGACUGCCUACAGUGUCAUUUAACUUUUCCCCCCCCAAAUCUGUGUGGAAUGAAGGGCCCCACUGGAAGACAACUUCCCUAAUUGCCUCAUUGUCCGGGAUGCACAGCCGGUGAGGGCUGAGACCCUUUCAGGCUUGGCUCUGAGUGCUAAACUAAAAAGUUCAGUAACUCAUUCAAAUGAUACAAAAUGAUUCAACUUAAAUUAGCCCUCCUAAGGCUAUAGGUUGGCUUGGCACUAACACACAGACAGGAGCUGUGGGCAGAAAACCAGCAUUAAAUCACCACCUUUAUGACUCUUUAUAACCCAGGACUCGGAGGAUCUAGGACCAGAAUUUUCCUUUUUUCCUUGACGUGGUUCCUUUUCUGAAAAGCAUCGAGAAAAGGGCUGGGCAAUGUGCCUGAAUACAUUAUUCUACCACUACUCUGUUCCUCCUUACUUCUUCCACCAGAAACAAGGCCACCUUUUUUUUUUUUUUUCCAAAACUAGAACCAAAAUUCCCUCUUCUCUUCCUUGGGAGGAAGCGAGAACCCCACAGCAAUGCACUUUAUGAAAGCAGGUGCAGGAAGAGCUGGGGGCUGGAGACACGUUUCUCUUGAGAGUCUGUAGAAGCUGUUCCUUAGACAUGGAGCAGUUUGCUCUUAUGAACAAAACCGCAUUGUUCCUUUCUUCAGAUCUGAAUGGAGUUAGUUAAGCUUUCAGUGGAAGUGUGAAAAUGGCAAGACAAAGAAGAGCAUAUCCUUGUUAAGCAACUCAAAAUGAAAGAGGUGGAGGAAGAUGGUGGUACCAGUUAUAAAAUGUUUUGGACUCCUUAAUGAGACUUUGUGGUUUUCAUUAAUUUCAGGACUGUCAUCUAACAGGAAUUCCACCAAAGGGAUACUUUUAUAGCAACUUCAAUGUGCAACCUCUCAGCAUCAGGGAAAAUCAGAGCAACAGCCUCAUCUCUCUUCAAUGCCCAGAAAAAAAGUAUUCAAAAGCAUCAGCAUUCAUCAGUCAUUUUCAACAGUGUUCUAGUUAGUGCCUUCCAUGUCUGUCCUGAAAGAUGAAAGAGAAGGUCAGGACCCUAAUUAUCUAAUCUUUGAAAGCUGGACUUUUAAUGAAAAUUUCAAUGUUAGAAAAAUUAUUUUUAUAUUCUACUUUGCUCAUUAACUUUCAAAGUUAAGUAUAGUCUAAAUAUUCCUGAUUGUAGAUAUAGUGAGAAAGUAGAUUUCCUACAGUGUGAGUAUAUGAGUUUGAGUUUAUUGGAAGCUCAACAGAUAGUAAUAGGACUUCCUGGGGAAUGGGGGUGGGGGGAGCAUGGAAGGAGAAGCUAUAUCUGGGUUUUUUUCUGUUUGUUUGUUCUUUUUUAUGGCUGCACUCAGGGCAUAUGGAAGUUCCCAGACCAGGGAUUGAAUCCAAGCCACAGCUGUAGCCUACGUUGCAGCUAUGGCAAUCCCGAAUCCUUUAAUCCACUGUGCCAGGCUGGGGAUUGAACCCCUUCCUCUGCAGAGACCCAGGCUGCUGCAGUCAGAUUCUUAACCCACUGUACCACAGCAGGAACUCCUAUGCUAUCAGUUUUUAAUAUGAAAUUACAUAUAUGAAGGAGGAAACUCUUUGGUAAUAGGGUGUGGGGAAAGAUCAUUAAAUUUGACCUUUGGUGGUUUUAACUGUUAGAUGCUGCUAGAGGGCAUUAAAAAAAAAAAAAAAACCUGAUAUAAUAAAUACCCUGUUACUCUCUGAGCAGAAAUUUCCUCAUUUGCAAAAUGGAGCUAAUAGUAAUGUCUACUUCAGGAGUGAUGAGGAUUGAAUGAAUUAAUAAUAAGAAUGUCUUAGCACAGUGCCUAACAUACAGUACUUGCUGAAUUUAUGCAUCAUUGUUACUGUUAUUCUUUUCAAUACUAUUAUUAGAGAGGAAGUAGGAUGAUAUACUGAAGCAGAGAUUAAAUGUUUGUUAGAACUAAAUCUUAGGAAGUUCCCUUCAUGGCACAACAGAAAUGAACCUGAUCAGGAUCAUGAGGACUCAGGUUCGAUCCCUGGCCUCGCUCAGUGGGUUAAGGAUCCGGCCUUGCCAUGAGCUGUGGUGUAGGUCACAGAUGCAGCUUGGUUCUGGCAUUAUCGUGGCUGUGGUGUAGGCUGGCAGCCACAGCUUGGAUUUGACCCCUUGCCUGGGAACCUCCAUAUGCUGUGGGUGCGGCCCUAAAGAAAAAAAACUAAACCUUAGAGGUAAAGAUGUUCCAGUAAAGUUAGGAAGGUUAACCAGGAACCAGGACAGAAUCUGCCAUGGGAAAAUAACCCCGCCAAAUGUGCUGAUAGAGUUUGGUGAAUCACACCAGGGAAACAGAGUAAGUAUAUCCAUAAUUAGCUGAAAAAUCAGUCAGCUGUUUCCUGUGGGCAAGAACAGGGGCACAGGUGCUCACAUGAGCCCAGGACUGGGAGCAGUUGUGGGAACCUAAGAAAAAGAGGUCUCUGGUGAGAAUGAAACCAUUCGACUUUUUCAGGGAAUUUUUCAGAGAGCCAGGGCUAAGGGAGAGAGAACCAGGUCUGAGCCAGGGACAUUGAGCCCGGGAAACCAUUCGACUUUUUCAGGGAAUUUUUCAGAGAGCCAGGGCUAAGGGAGAGAGAACCAGGUCUGAGCCAGGGACAUUGAGCCCGGGAAACCAUUCGACUUUUUCAGGGAAUUUUUCAGAGAGCCAGGGCUAAGGGAGAGAGAACCAGGUCUGAGCCAGGGACAUUGAGUCCGUUUUUACCUAGUAAAUUGCAGACAUGAAAAAUGAUCACCAUACAGACCACUGUCCAAGGGAGGGAAUGGCUGUCUCCUUGAAAAAAAGAGAUAACCUGGAUGAGGAAGACUUACUGUUUCCAGAAAAUGCCUGGCACAUAGUAGCUAACUAAAUAAUAUUUGUUGCUUGACUGACUGACUGAUGAGUGAAUGAACUGCCGUCAGCUCAAGAGCAUGGCUUUUAGAGGUGAUCUUACCUUCCUUCUUGCUCCACAUUGAGUCAAUAGGAAAGAUGGUCACAGAGAAUCUAGAUGAGGGACUUGUGUGUUUCCAUGCAGGUACACUCUGAGAGGAUGUUCUUCCUUGCCACCACCCUGAAGCUACACACCAUUUAGAAUAUCGACUCUAUGUUAAUAUAUGUGAAGAUUCCACGUAGAGAGCAACUUCCUCAGGCAUUUCAUGGCAUCGUUUAUUGAUUCUUUGGCAGGCUUUUAAUGAGCAUUGUGUACAGUGGCUAUUGAAAAGGACAUACCAAAUUUUUUUUCGAUUAGACUAUAAGCUGUGUGGAUAUCGGACAGGAUUUUAUUAGACAUCCACACAGAACAGUGAAGAAACUAGCAAAGCAAUAGGAUAUAUACUCAGGGACUCAGAGGAGUAGAAAAGACACCGGAGCAGAAUAACCAAAGGUGUUUAUCUUUCUUUUUAUCUUGUUUGUUUUUUCUGGGCUUUGAAGAACAGGUAGAAUUUCAAUACAUGAAAGAGAGGAGAAAAGCAUUUCUAUUGGGGGAGGUUGUAAGUGGUAUGUGUAAGUUUAUGUGUGGAAGGUUUGUGUGUAGUUUAUUUUUGAAACAGUAUGGGGAUGGGAGGUGCUAGAGGCUCGAAUUGGUAAGUAAUGGCAGUUACUCACUGGAUAAGGAAGAUAUGAUUAAAUGGUGGAGAUUUGGGGAUGAAGCUCUUAGACUUGCUCUGCUGAGGAUGAAGAAAAAUAUUACAGAUUUUUGGAAACAAAAAAUGACGUGAUAUUUUUGCCAGUGUUUAAGGUUGAUAAGAGAAAGGAAAGAUGGGAAACAGACAAAAUAGGUAGGUAAAAGACCACUGAUGUAAUAAGGUAGAUUUAAACAUUGAGGGCUUAUUUGCUUUGACUGUAGCGAGGGAAGGAAAGACUCAAAUGAAUGGAAAAAAAAAA